UUUCCGUAGGUGAGCCUGCGGAAGGAUCAUUAUUGUAUACCCGAGAUGAGAGGCCUGUCGCUGACUCGAGAGCUCGUGCACACCCGAGUGCCCUCACACACAUCCAUCUCACCCCUAUGUGCACCACCGCGUGGGUCCCCCUUUGGCUUGUUCGGAGGGGGGCUUACGUUUUCACACAAACUUUGUAUGCAGUGUAGAAUGUAUUUUUUGUUUUUGCGAUCACGCAAUCAAUACAACUUUCAACAACGGAUCUCUUGGCUCUC
RNAcentral lists this unclassified non-coding RNA (263 nucleotides) under plant metagenome. RNAcentral's name for it is "partial contains small subunit ribosomal RNA, internal transcribed spacer 1, and 5.8S ribosomal RNA". The record is from RNAcentral.